GCUAUAGUGUUUAUUUUUUUUUUUUUUAAUUUUGCAGGUGCACAUGGGAAGGACUGGUUUCUGAAAAUAGAAUUUUGCUCUGAGAUUUUAAGUAGACCAGAAUUUUUACUGGAAGUUCACCUUCAGGGUUUUGGGGGUUCCUUUCAAGUACAGACCUAAAGAAAGCAUGUUAGGACGCAGCCAGCAAAUCCACUUCCUAGUCCUGGGGUCAUACAUGGCACUUAUGCAUGAAUCACCAGAGAAGGAGCACCAAUACGCCUUUGCUUCUCCACAAUGCUUAUUUGGAGUUAACUAUAUCUCUUCUGCAAGAAAGUUAGGAUUCAAAGCCCACAGGAAAGGAUGGAUUAUUAAUAGCUGAAGGAGAUGCACACUUAGGAGGAGAAAGUAUGAGAGCGCUUGGAAGUCUUUCAGCUGGGUAAGGUAUUUGCCAGUUCCAGUGCUCCAGAUAAUUUUAGUCUUCUGACUUGCAUUUUCCAUCUGUUUUUCUCAGUUACUUGAAAUAAAGAAACUGUUUCUCAUUUCAAUUUACAUACAGAAUUCAUAAUCAUUUACUUUUUAGUUAAGCUCUAAAGUUCAAAAAUAUAUUGUCUUCUAGUGUGAAGUAGUUUUUAAUUAGUUUGCUUUUUUCUAAAUGCUCAGAUGUGGGACUUCCCUAAAACCAAAGCAAUUCUGACGUUUUUUUUAUGAGUGGUCUUAGCUACUGCUGUUUUUAAAUUAUGUUUCCCUAAAGUUGCAUAGAACACAGGUUAGAGAGUGACUUUGAGUUUCUCUCAACAUGUCAAGAAAUAUCUAUUCCAUUGCAAAAAAGGGAUAAAUAUCUUGCUCAGAAUUUUAUUUUCCUUGAGAAUGUGUGAUUUUACAGGCAUCUGACUGGGGGCAAGGAGUAAGAGUUUUCACAAGUUUUGUGUUACUUUAUCUAAGAAGAGAUGUCUCGAUUUCUCACAAGAGAUUGUUGGAUAUUAGGCAAUAUGCUAAUGCCUGCUGCUCAAACUAAGAGUUUUUAUUCCUGUAAGCUAGACAACAAGUAAAGGUAGGUGGCCUUGUAUCAUUGCCUUGGUCUUAAGCAUGAGUAGCAUAAGUUUAUGUUAUUUAGAAAAUGACUCUGAGUGCUUGUUGUGGGAUUGACAUUAUUGGGCAUGAUAAUCCACCUGAUAUCUAGUUCUGGAAAAAAAGUGAAAAAGCUGAUCCUAGUGCUUUUGUAUUUAAGAUUCAUAUCACCACUUAGUUUACAGUACUUUCCAUCCUUACCUGGAAUGAAUGAUGUGGCAUAAUUAAUUUCCAUGCCUCCAACGAAAUAUGAGAUUUGGUGUGGGGGGAAAUAAAAUUUUUUUUUUUUUUUUGGUAAUAGGGGUAGUUAAUUCUGAAGUCCACUUUGACACAAUUCUGAAGGUGUUUUGAAACCUUUAAUCCUCAUUAUAGGCUCCAUGUUUAAAUUAAUUUUCCAUAUAGGACUUCUGAAGGAAUGGCACUAGUAAAUGUUCUCUUUUGAAAAUUAAUCUUACAUAUUGAACACUGCAAUAACUAACUAAUGCUAUGAUGAAUGCCAAUAAAUUAUGCAAAAGUUGCAUACUAUCUUGUGUUUUACUGUGGGCUCCUGAUAAUAAAAUCUAUCCUCCUGAACCUAAAAUGAGAUGGGCACCUUUUGUUAUCUUCAGAAUAGGAGCACAGACUCUCCUUUCAUAUGGAAAGGCAACUUUCUGAAUUGUUUUAUUUCCACCGUAUUCACCUAGAGGAAUUAAAUAAGUGAUUUAUAUAAUUAGAAGCCAUUUGAAUGUUUACCAUAUUUCUCUAGAAUUUUGGCACAAGAACAUAAUGAGAAGCAAUGCAGAUUGUUUACUACAUAGUUU
Non-coding RNA from Taeniopygia guttata (zebra finch), 1847 nucleotides. The record is from RefSeq and is a predicted model, not a curated record. Lineage: Eukaryota; Metazoa; Chordata; Aves; Passeriformes; Estrildidae.